Molecule: small nucleolar RNA, 67 nt
Filed under: Staphylococcus hominis VCU122
Lineage: Bacteria; Bacillati; Bacillota; Bacilli; Caryophanales; Staphylococcaceae
Source: RNAcentral
AAAGAUAAAAGUCCUUCUACUGAAAUUGUGGCACAGACAAUUUUUGAAAUCGUACAAGCUCAUCUUA